This 164-nucleotide ribosomal RNA is filed under the name Ourisia integrifolia. RNAcentral's name for it is "5.8S ribosomal RNA". It matches the Rfam family "5.8S ribosomal RNA". Rfam says of the family: 5.8S ribosomal RNA (5.8S rRNA) is a component of the large subunit of the eukaryotic ribosome. It is transcribed by RNA polymerase I as part of the 45S precursor that also contains 18S and 28S rRNA. The record is from RNAcentral. Lineage: Eukaryota; Viridiplantae; Streptophyta; Magnoliopsida; Lamiales; Plantaginaceae.
UCAGAACGACUCUCGGCAACGGAUAUCUCGGCUCUCGCAUCGAUGAAGAACGUAGCAAAACGCGAUAUUUGGUGUGAAUUGCAGAAUCCCGUGAACCAUCGAGUUUUUGAACGCAAGUUGCGCCCGAAGCCAUUAAGCCGAGGGCACUUCUGCAUGGGCGUCAC